Molecule: unclassified non-coding RNA, 343 nt
Filed under: soil metagenome
Description: partial contains 5.8S ribosomal RNA, internal transcribed spacer 2, and large subunit ribosomal RNA
Rfam family: 5.8S ribosomal RNA (bases 1-120)
Source: RNAcentral
GAUGAAGAACGUAGCGAAACGCGAUAGGUAAUGUGAAUUGCAGAAUUCCGUGAAUCAUCGAGUUUUUGAACGCAUAUUGCGCCCUCUGGUAUUCCGGGGGGCAUGCCUGUUCGAGCGUCAUUAAAUAACCCUCAAGCAUAGCUUGGUGUUGGGCUUUUUUACGUCCUUGACUGGGAUGGGCCUAAAAAUUAGUGGCGAUGGCUUUUUUACUUUCAAGCGUAGUAAAUCUCGUCUUGCUAAAGAGGAAAAAGAUUUUUUUUCUGCCAAAAAUUUUAACAUUUAAAGUUGACCUCGGAUCAGGUAGGAUUACCCGCUGAACUUAAGCAUAUCAAUAAGCGGAGGA